This 232-nucleotide long non-coding RNA is filed under the name Lathyrus oleraceus (garden pea). RNAcentral describes it as "Pisum sativum (pea) long non-coding RNA (PSAT_LNC028813)". The record is from RNAcentral. Lineage: Eukaryota; Viridiplantae; Streptophyta; Magnoliopsida; Fabales; Fabaceae.
ACUUAUAAUUCCUUAGCCUUGCUUCCUUGUACUUCAAGAUCAAGUUGCACUGAAGAAUUGGAUUGGAUCAAGCACUGAAAAGCUGCACUUCGAAGGUUGAUUCUCCAACUGUUUUCCUUCGAAUCUCCCUUAUUAUUGUGCAUUGCUUGGUUUGGUUGGUACCUCUGAAGUCCUCAUGUGAGAGGCAAUUGAUUAGUGCUUUUAAUUUUAUGAAUUUAACAAGUUCAGAUUG